This is an RNA transcript of Triplophysa rosa, 4991 nucleotides long. It is a transcript of the gene named H-2 class I histocompatibility antigen, Q10 alpha chain-like, with no coding region annotated. The transcript has 8 exons. The record is from RefSeq and is a predicted model, not a curated record. NCBI's taxonomy places the organism in Eukaryota, Metazoa, Chordata, Actinopteri, Cypriniformes, Nemacheilidae.
ACGGGGCGUUUACGGACGCUGCAUUUCAGCCUACGAUUGCGGGACAAGACUAAACUUUUAAGCGAGCAGACAGUUAUAUUUUAGAUAACGACUCUUCUCAAACAUACAAACAGAAAUAGAACAAAAUGCGAUCUUUAGCACUUCUGCUGUUUGGGAUUCAUCUCGCCUUUGCUGGAACACACUCUCUGCAAUACUUCUGCACUACUGUAUUUAGAGACAUGAAUAUUGAAAAAUACAUAGUGGUUGGAAUAAUCGAUGAUCUGCAGUUUAUGCACUUUGACAGCGACACAAUGAAAGCUGAGCCAAAGACAGACUGGAUGAGAAAGAAUGAAGGAGCAGAUUAUUGGAACGUUAGGACUCAGACAGUCAUUGGUCACUAUCAGGAAUACAGAAACUUCAUGCAAAUCGUAAUGCAUCUAUACAACCAGUCUAUGUCAGGUGUUAACGCCUUCCAGAUGAUGUAUGGCUGUGAGCUUGAUGAUGAUGGGACCACUCGAGGAUACUUGCAGUAUGGUUAUAAUAGAGAAGACUUCAUCAGCUUUGAUAAGAACACACUCACCUGGACCGCUGCGAAUCCUCAAGCCGAUAUCCUCAAGAACCAAUGGGAUACUGAUGGAGCUAAAACAAAAUACUGGAAAGCAUAUUUGGAAAGCACAUGCUUUGAGCGGAUGAAGAAGAUUGUUAACUAUGGCAAGGACACUCUGGAGAGAAAUGUUCCACCUGUGAUGUCUCUACUGCAGAAGAACUCCUCGUCUCCAGUAAUCUGUCAUGCUACUGGUUUCUACCCCAAAAACAUCACAAUGACCUGGAAGAAAAACCAUGAGGAUCUUAAUGAAGAUGUGGAGGUCAGUGAAACUUUGCCAAAUGCAGACGGAACGUUCCAGAAGAGCAUCAGUCUCUCAGUGAAGUCUGAGGAGUGGAAGAAGAAUCCAGAUGUCUACAGAUGUGUCAUUCAACAUGUGGGAGCAGAGAAAGACAUUGUUGUCCUUCUCAAUGAAAACAACAUCAAGUCUAACUCAGCUUCUGACAACACCAUUGUGAAAUGUUUGGUGAUCACUACUGUUGUUAUCGCUGUGUUGGCCGCUACUGUCUUUGCUGUUAAAAAGAAGCUCAUUGUGUGCAGAAAGUGCAGAGAAGUAAAUAGCUCAAAUUUAACAGGCAAUGUGAAGGACAGCACUGCAUCAGAAAUAUCAGAUGAACCACAGCAGAAUGCAAAAUGAAAAUUUUGACAGUGAUUUUAGGGUAUGAAUUUCCAAUACCAAUACAUUUUCUGUUAUUUGAACAGAUAUGUUUUAGUUGCACAUGAUAGAACACAAUGUUAGCAUCUGCUCAUUUAAAUGUUUAAAUUAUAGCCAAUUAAGACUUUUAAAAUCUACCUUUAUUGUUAAUACGCACAUUUGCUAUCUACUGGUGUUUAUAACUAGAGAUAUCGAUCAAUUUUAAAAUAAUAUCAUAUGUGAACCUGCCAGGCUAAAGUCACAGAAUCUCAUUCUGAGAUAACAAGCAUCAAAGUUUGAUUUUAACCAUUAAUUUCACUAUGUUUUCAGCCUUUGAAAUCUUAUUAAAGAUAUCUUACAGAAUGCUCUUUACACAAAUCACCAUCACUGUUAUGUGAUUAACCUAUUACUGACAGCUUGUAUGGCAAGCCGAAUUAGCUUUUAAUCAUUCUCAGGAUAUGAAUUUUUGAUAUCAACAAUUCAAUUUUUACUAGUAACAAUCGCUGUUUUUGAUAUCAGUAAUUACAUUUUCACUAGUAAAAAUGUGAAUUCUUGAUAUCAACAAUGACGUCAUCACUCGCAGAAAUGUACAUUCUUGAUAUCAAAAAUUGAAUUUCAACUAGUAAAAAACGUCAUUCUUGAUAUCUGUAAUUGCAUUUUUACUAGUUAAAUCACAAUAGGCUGCCAUUCAAAUUCAAUAUCAGAUAUCAGUAAUUCGUUUCUUACGUGUUAAAAAUCUUAUUUCAGAUAUCAGAAAUGCAAUUCUUACUAGUAAAAAACAUCAUUUUUGAUAUCAACAAUUGUGUGGUUACUAGUGGCAAUGUCUAUUCUUGAUAUCAACAAUUGAAUUACUACAUGUAAAAAUGCUAAUUUCUGAUAUCAGUAAUUACAUUUUCACUAGUGACAAUGUUAAUUCUUGAUAUCAACAAUGCGAUUGUUACUAGUAAGAAAGCCAUUUUAGAUAUCUACAAUUACUCUCAGAUUUAUUGAUAUCUGAAAUAUAUUUCCUGAUAUCAGAAAUACCAAAUGCAACAUGUUAAAAUUCAUUUACAGAUAUCAAGAAUGAGCAUUUCAACUAGUAAAAGUUGAAUUCUUGAUAUCAAAAUUGGCAUUUUUACUAGCAACAAGUUACAUUUUGAUAUCAAAAAUUAUGUUUUUUACUAGUAAGAAUUGCAUUUCUGAUAUCUGAAAUGAGGUUUUUAAUGUGUAAGAAAUGAAUUAUUGAUAUCUGUAAUUGAAUUUGAAUGGCAGCCUAUUGUGAUAUUUAACUAGUAAAAAUGCAAUUACAGAUAUCAAGAAUUGCGUUUGUUACUAGUUGAAAUAAAAUUUUUGAUAUCAAGAAUGCACAUUUCUGCCAGUGAUGAUGUCAUUGUAAUUCACAUUUUUACUAAUGAAAAUGUAAUUACUGAUAUCAAAAACAGCAAUUGUUACUAGUAGAAAUUCUAUUCUUGAUAUCAAGAAUUAUAAUUUUUACUAGUAAAAAUUGAAUUGUUGAUAUCAAAAAUUCAUAUCCUGAGAAUGAUUAAAAGCUAAUUCGGCUUGCCAUAAGCUUGUGGGGUAGCAGUUUAUAUACAGUUAAAGUGUAAAAGUUUUGCAUUAUAUUAGAAAUAUAAAGACUUACAAUGACAGAAAUGUAUUUAAAUAAUUAUAGUGUUGUUUAAAAAAUGUCUCUACAUGAUUUGUUUAGCAUAUUUAUACUGUUUUGUAUUUCAUCUUGGUGUAAUUCAUACGUAUAUGAAAAUAUUUGUUCUUUUCCAUUGAGCUUAUUUUGUUUUAUUAUUUACUAUAUUUUAUUAUAUAUCUAUUGUUUAAUCUUGAGAGCCAGUGAACUGAUCUUAACCCAGUGCUGCUGAGGCCUGGUUUCACCUGAGAUGGAUUGCUGUGGAAUUCUUUAUUAAAGCGGCCCUAACACACGCGGUUUCUGCCAAUCUCAUAUUAAUCUUAAGUACCUAUAGAGUAGUAUUGCAUACUUCGUACCUUCGAAGAGUAUUUAGUUUGAUCACAUUUAUAAAAGAUAGAUACAGCUGAACGAUUAUUUCCGAAAUCAUACGGCGCGUGCAGGGGGGGAGGGGUAGGCUGAACUAAAGCACAUUGCCAACAAAACACAGACAUCAGUUUCACUCAACGCAUGCGGUUCAUGUCCGGCAUCGUUUAGCGCUUGGACGGCUCCAUAUAUCAGUUUCAAACGAUCUUCAAAUCCAGCGUUAUAUCCACCGUUUAUAUAACAUUCAUCACCCAAAUGCAGUGAACAAACAAACACCUGAAUUUAACGAACGUAUGCUCUCUCUCUCUCCUGCACACAAGUGAAAGUGACGUAUGCGCAUGCUCCUUCUCCUGCUCUCCUUGCUGCCGCGUGGGUGUGCCGCGUGCUUUUCAGGAAGAAUUGUCCAAUAAGGGACUAAGAAAAGUUGUUACGAACAGUUUUAUAUGUUCGAAAAAAAAACUUUCCGAAACCUGUACGAUCGCUGGGGGAGUGUAUCGAGCACAGAAAUACUACGUAAUACACCCAACUCGGUUUUUGACAAGUUGACCAUGUUAAGCAUAAGAAAGCACUGUAAAGAAGUCUGAAUGCAUGACACAUCGUUGCAGCACCCCUUUUAUUAAAUACUUGGUUUGCAAGUUAUAAAGGUUAUGAAGGCUUUCCUUUUUCAAACUUACCAACAUUUUGUUUUCACCCAUAUAGGCCUAUUGAAUCGGUGAAGCUAACUUCUUACUUUGUUUCUUUACAUUAAAGUUCCAUGAUGCUGAUGUGGUUGAACAAAUAAAAAAGUAGGCUAAUCUGGGUUUAGAUUGUAAAAUAAAGUAAACUACUUCUUUGAAAUACUGAGGUAGGCUACUGCUGAGAAAUACCGUAGAUAUAAAAAAGUCUUUGCACAGGUGUAUUUCAUAACAAACAGAAGAAAUAUACGAGUAUUAUAAUGUCAAUAAUAAAUGUAUGCUGCCAUUUCCCUUAUGAAAAUUAACCAUGUUUUUUUUGUGGUACAAGUGUAGUAACCAUGGUUUUUUGGUGCAUUGAUUACUUAGGGCAAAACCAUGGUUUUACUACAGUAACCAUCGUUUACUGUGGUUUUUACAAAAAACAUGGUUUUCAAAACCAUGGUUAUUUUGUGAUAACCAUUGUUUUAAUAACGUAACCAUGUUUUUUUGUUUUGUUUUAACUGUAGUGAAACCAUGGUCAAUUUUCGUAAGGGUUGUUUUUGCUUUUGAAAGACCCAGGAAACAAUAGGAUAAAUAACAAAACAUCAGACAUAAUGUUAAAAGGGCGUAUCAGUUGUAGUACUUUUCAACAAAAGAUGAAAGAAAAUAUUCAGCUAUUCAUUCAACUCUCUAAAUUAAUCUAUUGCAUUUUGUUCAAGUAUCUGUUGUGUUGUCAUAAAUACAAAAUAAAGGUGACCAAUAAGGAAAAGCAAUUUUUGGGUCCAAUUUCAGAUUUACCUGUAGUUAGAUGUUGCGUUUGAGUUUGGGUGCUGGAAUUUGUAGGGUUAACUGGGCGUGUACACAGGUGUGCUUCUACACAUUAGACAGUCGGGCCAACAAAACAACCGAAAGUCUUUUAACCGAGCAGAAUGUAUUGUUUACCGAUAGAACUGUUGUCCAAUAUGCAACAGACAUGCGAUGUGUAGCGCUUCUGCUUAUCGGGAUUCAUCUAGCCACAGCUGGAACGCACUCUCUGUUGUACUUCUGCACUGCUGUGUAUAGAAAUAUGAGAAUUGAAAAGUACACAGUGGUUGGAACGGUGGAUAAUCAUCAACAGUUCAUGUACUUUGACAGCAA